This is a long non-coding RNA of Zonotrichia leucophrys gambelii, 1063 nucleotides long. RefSeq lists it as uncharacterized. The transcript is spliced from 4 exons. NCBI's taxonomy places the organism in Eukaryota, Metazoa, Chordata, Aves, Passeriformes, Passerellidae. The record is from RefSeq and is a predicted model, not a curated record.
AGAGAGUUGGAGUUUGUUGAUUGUGCUGUGAAGAAGGAGUCAGUUCUGUGAGGAGGUGCCCAUGAGAGAUCACCAAGAAGAUCGAUCUCUUCCCAAGAUGUACAUCUGCACCCAGCACUAUCAGUGCUGUCCAGCACCAGUAAGAGGAACUGCCUUCUGGAUGGACCUGUGUCAGCUCACCAAAUGUGGAGACAGCUAGGUCAACAUCCAAGGUACCUAUGGGAGAAGUCAUUUCCCAGAGGGACUUUCUAUAAAGACUGAAGAAUAACAGGCACAUCCUGAGAGUGAGCCCUACCACAACACUGCACAAAAGAAUGUGAGAAAAACACUCAAAUUCUAUCCAGGCCACCAAACACCUGCUGGGAGACCACAGCCAAACCAGUGUCACCCUGUUCCAUUUCAGGCAACCUGGACAAAGGGUUGGCACGUGUGAUGAAUCCCAGCCUAAACUCCACUAAACUGGAUUUCACAUGUAAUGUACAGCACUAAAUAUAUUGUCAUAGCUUGACUUAAAUUAAACAAAACCUAAGUAAGUAUAAGGCAAGUUCAUAAUUGCCUGAAAUGGUAGCUCUUAGAGACCUUUUAUAUAGCUGAGGAAACCAGAUGUUGAUUUUAUGGAAGCAGUAAACUGUUUUAAAAACCAUAGUACAAUAGGAUUUCAGCUGUUCAAACGGAUUCUGCUAAGUCAUCUCUUUAUGCCCAAGGAGAAAACCUACCAUUAAUGACCAUGUUUCUGCUUAUUUUUAACUUAAAAACAUCAGUCAGCAUGAAGUAUUGGAUCCAAGAGGUCACCUGCUAUGUUUAUUAAUUAAUUUCAGUACAAAGCCAUUUAGCUUUGUUUUCUGACAUUGAGGUCUAUGCACCAUACUCCCUGAUAAUUCUGCUCACACUAGUGUGGUGCAUGAAGAUAUGCACAGAGCUUGUGUCAGAGCAAAGCCACUGAAGUGUUUCUGUUCCAAAGCAUCGAAGUCAAGAGUCCCAAUGAGUAUCCAAACCAGCACAGCAGGAGUCUGGCUAACCCAUGAAGUCCAGUUGCUAUGGUUUAGCAUUCUUGUCCACCCCA